This is an RNA transcript of Panonychus citri (citrus red mite), 5045 nucleotides long. RefSeq lists it as uncharacterized. The transcript has 5 exons. NCBI's taxonomy places the organism in Eukaryota, Metazoa, Arthropoda, Arachnida, Trombidiformes, Tetranychidae. The record is from RefSeq and is a predicted model, not a curated record.
GAAAAGUUACAAAUGAAUUAUUAGUUAUUGAUUACGUAGAGUGAUAAUACACUUAAUUAUUUAUCAUUGUCCAAUUAACUAAGAAAACUCUGUAUAGUCAAGUAGCAAUUUAGACCCAUGCUCAACAUGUUCAAUCAAGAUAACAAAUGAUGAUGUCUUUUCAUAUUAAUUUGAGUAUUUAAAUGAUUUUUAUUCAAUUGUUUUAUUUAAUUGCUAAUCACUUAUAUUAAUAGUUACCCAAUUUUCUUCAGCUUUUAGUUGCAAUGUUAAUAUUUAACUGAUUUUUUACCAUUAGCCUGGACCUUUAAAUUAAUUCAGUUCGAUUGUGAAUUCAUCUUAUUAAGUUUUCAUCAUAUGUAGUUUAACGGUGUUCAUCUAGAUUAUAUUGUUACUUUAAUCCUCGUAAUCAAGUUGGUUAUUAGUUAAUUUUUCCAUUACUAGUGCAUCAGUGGAAACGUCUACAAUGUAUAAAAAAGAUCCAUCAGCAGGAGAAGGAAGCGGAAGUGUCACAAACUGUGAUGUCGAUGGAAGCAUAAAUUGCGACAUUGGAAUAAAAAACGAAAGGAAAAGUUCAACUUUUCUAAUACUUGAUCGAAGUUUAAAUGGAUCAAGAGUAGGCAGAGAAUUAGAAACUAUGUCGGUGAUGAAAAAUUCAACCAAUAAAUCACAAGAAAAUAAUAAACAACCAGUUGUUCAAUUUAAAAAGAAGACUUCGAAUCAGAACUUUUUUCCUUGUCUUGUAGAACCGAGUCAAACUCCUACAAAUGGUUUAGCCCAAGAUGAACCAUGGGCUCAAUCAAGACUAGUACAAAGUUCAUCGCCAUCUUAUACUGAUCAUCGAAAGCAAGAAAGUGAUGAUUCCUGUAAUUUAGACCAUAAAAGUGCCAUUGGUGUGUCAAUAAAAGUCGAGUCGAUAUCUAAUAACCUUGAACCAGAUUGUUCAACAAAUUAUCGGAAUUCAGUUCAAUCAACUUCAUCAUGUUCAUAUCUAACAUCAUCAACCAGAGCUCGAAUUAAAAAUGAAACAGAAUUGCCAAUCUCAUCAUCAUCUUUACAAACCCAACCAUCUAGUACAUUGAAUUUGAAUGUUUACCAUCAUAUAAUUGACACUAAUUCAACGCAAAUCAACAUGAUAAAUGAAAAGCGCAUGAAACAAUUAGCAUUAAAUUCAAUGGAGGAAACUCGACUCAUUGAACUCACGUUAGCCUAUGGGGCUCUUGAUGAGCCUUCGGCCUGCCCAUUGACCACUAAGGAUAAUUUAUUGCUAAUUAUUGAUUAUUACAAUGGUUUAGUUGAUUAUUUACUCUUAAUGGCCCAAAAACUAAGCACAUUCGUCGAGCUUCCCGUUGAAGAUAAAAACCGUUUGGUCCGAGGUACUUUCGCUGAUAUAUUAUCAAUGAGAGGCUCUUUCGUAUUUGAUUUGGACAAUUUACUUUGGAUGGUGAAGGGAAAGGGAAUGACAGUUAAACUAGAAGACAUAAUCCAUUUCGAUAACACGAAUCCCGAGGCUUAUCUUGAAUUUGUAAAGUCUAUUGAUCCACUUUGGAGGAAAAAUAUAAUUAUCAAUCAACUAAUUGUUGCGAUUAUGCUGUUCAAAUAUGACUUACCCAAUCUUCAAUCACACGAGACAAUAAGGUUAGAGUAUUGUACUUAUGUCUAUUUACUUGAACGGUAUUUGGAAUCGAGUCUUAAUUUUAGUGAUCAACCAAGAGAAAUGUUGUUCAAUAUUUUGGAUAAAAUUUCCCGUUUACAAUUAAUCGUUGGCAAUUCAGUUCGGUUAACAAUUAAAGGUCAACCUCGCAAAGAUGCUAUAAUGGGUAGGGCAGUUUCGCUUUUUACUCCUGAUUAACUGCAAUUAAAUAAUUGGCAAGGUGAUUCUACAAGUCGUUUUAAUUUUACUAGUAAAUCGGGUGGUUAAUCUGAUUGAAUCAAUUUCAUGAUAUAUCGGUUGUAUGAAACCUCAUUCAUUAUUCAGUCUCUGAAUAUAUUGAUUGGUUUUCUAUCCACUGUUAACGCAAUUUUUGUGAUACUCAUUUAUUAUUAACAAUUAUUAUUAAUAUUAACAUCCUGGUGGAUGCGAUGAUUUAACGUCUUUGCUACAGUUUAUGUGCUGUAGCUCCUCCUGAGGAGGAAAAAGUUGUACCAGACAACUUAGAGUGGAGGGAAAUUACAAUAAGUAAAAAUUAACAAAUUAGAUUAGUUGAUUAAUGGUUAGUUUGAUUGUCCCAAGAUCCAAUUUGAUGAUUGUAAAUAUUAAUAAUUAUCAAGGGUUGAGAUGAAAGUGAAGAUGAGAUCCAAAAAAUAGUUUAACUCAUUGGGUAUGAUACAAAGAAAAGGAGAAAAUAAAAUUACAAUUUCAAUCUUUUAAUGAAGAAAAAAAUGAAAAUUUGUUAAUUACUCUGGAAAAGUGAUUCCAAUCACUAUCAUGGUUUACAAUGAAUGAUUAUAUGAAUUUUUAAUGAUUUGAAUCUGGAAAUUAACCACCAAGUAUAUCAACACCGAUUGUUAAUUGUUGUAGUAAUCAAAUACAAUCAAUGUGAUUAGACGCACCUUAAUUGUCUAUUUUGAAUGAUAAAAUCUAAUAACUAUGAACACGUUCACAUGAGAGGCGAUUUUUUCAAAUGUUCAAGUUUUUUUUCAAUUUAAAUACGAAAUGAAUUAAAUCAUUAAUCACAUAGAGAGGUAAAAAACUGACGAAAUGGAGCUAAAAAGUUUCAGAUCAACUUGUGAUUGGUGAAUGAUAAUAAUCAACUAAUUGCAUAGAGAAUGCGAAAAAGUUAAUUGUUUAUCAUGGUCUAAUUAACAGAGACCAAUCUUUAUAGCUAAGUAGUAAUUUAGAUACAUGCUCAAUAUGUUCAAUCAAGAUAAUUAUCAAUAACAAAUGAUGAUAAUUUAGUGUUCUUAUUAUGAGUAUUUAAGCGAUCAUUGUGCUUUUGCUAUAAUUAUUUGUUAAUUUAAUUGUUAAUCACUUAGAGUUACCUAAUUUUCCCCAAUCCAUAGUUUCAAUGUUAAUAUUUAACUGAUUGUUUAACGUUUACCUGGACUUUUAAAUCAACUCAGUUUGAUUGAGAAUUCAAUUUUUUAUAAUGUUUCUCAUCUCAACUCAUAAUUAGUAAAUUUUCUCAUAAUAGUAUUACUGUGUUUAUCUAAAUUGUAUUGUUAAUCCUCGUAAUCAAUUUGAUUAUUAGUUAAUUUUUCCAUUACAUGAUGAGUAUCUGUGGAAAAACGCCUAAAAUAAUAAAAACAGAAGAAGGAAGCGGAAAUAGCACAAACUGUGAUGUCGAUGGAAGCAUAAAUUGUGACAUUGGAAUAAAAAGCGAAAGGAAAAGUUCAACUUUUCUAAUACUUGAUCGAAGUUUAAAUGGAUCAAAAAUAGAUAGAGAAUUGGAAACUGUGUCGGUGAUGAAAAAUUCAACUAAUAAAUCACAUGGGAUUAAUAAAAAAUCAGUGUUUCAACUUAAAAAGAAGAUUUCAAAUCAGAACUUGCAACCUCGUCUUGUAAAAUCAAAUAAAACACCUAAAAGUAAUUCAGUCCAACGUGGGUCUUUUCAAUCAAGUCUAAUACAAAGAUCGUCAUCAUCAUCAUCAUCAACAAGAUCUCCUGAUCAUCGAAAGCAAGAAAGUGAUGAUUCCUGUAAUUUAGACCAUAAAAGUGCCAUUGGUGUGUCAAUAAAAGUCGAGUCGAUAUCUAAUAACCUUGAACCAGAUUGUUCAACAAAUUAUCGGAAUUCAGUUCAAUCAACUUCAUCAUGUUCAUAUCUAACAUCAUCAACCAGAGCUCGAAUUAAAAAUGAAACAGAAUUGCCAAUCUCAUCAUCAUCUUUACAAACCCAACCAUCUAGUACAUUGAAUUUGAAUGUUUACCAUCAUAUAAUUGACACUAAAUCAACGCAAAUCAACAUGAUAAAUGAAAAGCGCAUGAAACAAUUAGCAUUAAAUUCAAUGGAGGAAACUCGACUCAUUGAACUCACGUUAGCCUAUGGGGCUCUUGAUGAGCCUUCGGCCUGCCCAUUGACCACUAAGGAUAAUUUAUUGCUAAUUAUUGAUUAUUACAAUGGUUUAGUUGAUUAUUUACUCUUAAUGGCCCAAAAACUAAGCAAAUUCGUCGAGCUUCCCGUUGAAGAUAAAAACCGUUUGGUCCAAGGUACUUUGGUUGAUAUAUUAUCAAUGAGAAGCACGUUCGCGUUUGAUUUGGACAAUUUACUUUGGAUGGUGAAGGGAAAGGGAAUGACAGUUAAACUAGAAGACAUAAUCCAGUUCGAUACAUCAUAUCACGAGGAUUAUCUUGAAUUUGUCAAAUCUUUUGAUCCACUUUGGAAGAAAAAUAUAAUUAUCAAUCAACUAAUUGUUGCGAUUAUGCUGUUCAAGUAUGACUUACCCAAUCUUCAAUCACACGAGACAAUAAGGUUAGAGUAUUGUACUUAUGUCUAUUUACUUGAACGGUAUUUGGAAUCGAGUCUUAAUUUUAGUGAUCAACCAAGAGAAAUGUUGUUCAAUAUUUUGGAUAAAAUUUCCCGUUUACAGUUAAUUGCUGGUAAUUCUUUUCGGUUAACAAUUAAAGGUCAACCUCGCAAAGAUGCUAUUAUUGGGAGGGCAGUUUCCAUUCUUACUCCUGAUUAACUGCAAUUAAAUAAUUGGCAAGGUGAUUCUGCAAGUCCACUUACUUUUAGAUCAGGCGGUUAAUCUGAUUGAAUCAAUUUCAUGAUGUAUUAGUUGUAUGAAACUUCAUUCAUCAUUCAGUCUCUGAAUAUAUCGAUUGGUUUUCUAUUCACUCAAAACAAAUUAAUUCAUUCAUAUUUUGUAAAUUCAUAUUGAGAUUUUUUGGUUGUAUUUCAAUUACCCAAAUUUUUUCAUUAAACGUAACAAUUUACUGAUUGUUUAUUGUUUUACUUUUGUUAGUUUCUUUUAUCAUUCUGGUUUAUAGUCUAAUAUUGUUCAAGUGGUGGUCUUAAUUGUUUACUCCUAAUCUAAAUCUCCUGGUUUCUGUUGUAACUUUUUUUUAUGUAUUAAUACAUUUGAUAUUUACAUACACAUAUCAUAAUCAU